This is a long non-coding RNA of Triticum aestivum (bread wheat), 299 nucleotides long. RefSeq lists it as uncharacterized. The record is from RefSeq and is a predicted model, not a curated record. The transcript has 4 exons. Lineage: Eukaryota; Viridiplantae; Streptophyta; Magnoliopsida; Poales; Poaceae.
CGACCGUCCCCUAAGCUAGGGUUUCAGCCACCGCGUCGCCGGCGUGGCUCCGGCGGCUCAGAUCGAGCACGCCAAUGUCGCCGUCGUUUCGCUUGCGCUGGAACAGCAAAGGGAAGGCCAUGGACGACGCCGCUCCAGCCCUUCUCCGACGCCAUCAAGCAGUAGCAGCAACUCGAUGCAGGGACGAGGGAGAGGAGGAGUCCUGCUUCCCCGGCGUGCAUCCUCUCUCUCGGAACGACACCCAACCUCAAGCGAGAGAUGCAUGUGUGGGUGGCAGCAGAUCAACCUCCUUCUCAACC